This 137-nucleotide ribosomal RNA is filed under the name uncultured bacterium. Its description in RNAcentral is "partial 16S ribosomal RNA". It matches the Rfam family "Bacterial small subunit ribosomal RNA", at positions 355 to 509 of the family's 1533-position model. The record is from RNAcentral.
UGGGGAAUAUUGCACAAUGGAGGAAACUCUGAUGCAGCGACGCCGCGUGAGUGAAGAAGUAUUUCGGUAUGUAAAGCUCUAUCAGCNGGGAAGAAAAUGACGGUACCUGACUAAGAAGCACCGGCUAAAUACGUGCC